UUCUUGAUAGUAUGACAUACCUAUACUCAAGAUUAAAUAUGGAUACAAUUUCAACAGUGUGAGCUUGCAUGUUUUCAUUCGUGCCAUACUUGAUUAUUCUCACUUUGAGGGCUUCCAAUUGCAUACCAGUUGAGCACAUUCACCUUGAGCUAGUGACUUAUAAUCUUUCAAAGCAUACAAUCAAUAUGACACUUUUCAUCCAUAAGAUACUCCAUCAUUUGAUCCAACAUAGAUUUUAUGCUUAGCAUUGCUCUAUACAGCUUGAUUUGAUACCUCAAAAUCCAUCAAGUACAAGAACUUGACCCUAGCAAAGAAUCCAUGGCCCAAGCUGUCAUCUGACCUAUCUUUGCUUAUUGUUGCUAAUCCCUCGAUUGACUCCUUCAUUCUAUCCUCCCAAAUUUGAGUUUAGAUUUGCUUUGACAACAACCAUGAAUCUUUUCUUCAGUCU
RNAcentral lists this long non-coding RNA (448 nucleotides) under Setaria viridis. RNAcentral's name for it is "long non-coding RNA (SVIR_LNC000886)". The record is from RNAcentral. Lineage: Eukaryota; Viridiplantae; Streptophyta; Magnoliopsida; Poales; Poaceae.